Molecule: ribosomal RNA, 252 nt
Filed under: Chaetoceros curvisetus
Lineage: Eukaryota; Bacillariophyta; Thalassiosirophyceae; Chaetocerotales; Chaetocerotaceae
Description: partial Eukaryotic large subunit ribosomal RNA
Rfam family: Eukaryotic large subunit ribosomal RNA
Source: RNAcentral
GGAGCCGAUCCUAAGAGAUAGGGUAGUUCCGUAUGAAAGUGCGCGAUUCUUCGCGCCGCCUAUCGAAAGGGAAGCCGGUUAAAAUUCCGGCGCCAGGAUGUGGAUGAUAGACGGCAACGUAAACGAACCAGGAGACGUCGGCGAGGGCCCUGGAAAGAGUUAUCUUUUCUUUCUUACAGUCUGUCACCCUGAAAUCGAUUUGUUCGGAGAUAGGGUUCCAUGGCUGGUAGAGCUCGGCACUUCUGCCGGGUC